GUGAGUACUCUCGCUACCAGUCACGUGGGAGGCAAAGUUCCGUUGGGACUCCAUGUAACGUGCUCGCACCCAGCUGCAAGGGCCUGGCUGAUGGGGUGAGGGUGUACAGGGGCAGGGAGUGGUCCCCGUACUUCGCCAUUUGUCAGGACCAUCGACUUGUCAACACCAGCACCUGCGAUAGAGUACUGGAUACUUUUCAGUUGUUCUCGCCAGACCUCGGGAGAUGUGUAAGUCUGUAUGAAAUUCCAGUGGAGCGUGGCGGCUGUUCCCUCACCUGCACGGGUCGGUCCGAUGCUUUGUACCUCGAUGACGUCUGCGGUAACCCAAGCAUAUUCUUUCGGUGUUCUUCGGAGACAGUAAAAGAAAUUUAUUUGUGUCCAUCUAAACAACAAUCCGUCACAAAAUUAUUGUCUUGUUCAACUCUUGUCUCCGUGAAAUAGUAUAAGUAGCUAAAAAUAGCAUCUUGAGUUUAUUGACGACGAUAUUUCACGUGAAGCUCGUGACUUGUUCACAACAGACACUUUACAUUUACAGACUAGUGUAGCAAGAUACACACUUCAGAAAUAGAGAAGCAAUAAACCUUAAAAUGAAACAAA
Molecule: long non-coding RNA, 596 nt
Organism: Pomacea canaliculata
Lineage: Eukaryota; Metazoa; Mollusca; Gastropoda; Architaenioglossa; Ampullariidae
Exons: 2
Source: RefSeq, a predicted model, not a curated record